GAUGAAGAACGUAGUGAAAUGCGAUACGUAAUGUGAAUUGCAGAAUUCAGUGAAUCAUCGAGUCUUUGAACGCACAUUGCGCCCCCUGGUAUUCCGGGGGGCAUGCCUGUCCGAGCGUCAUUGCUGCCCUCAAGCACGGCUUGUGUGUUGGGCCUCCGUCCUCCUCCCGGGGGACGGGCCCGAAAGGCAGCGGCGGCACCGCGUCCGGUCCUCGAGCGUAUGGGGCUUCGUCACCCGCUCUUGUAGGCCCGGCCGGCGCUUGCCGACACAUCAAUCUUUUUUCCAGGUUGACCUCGGAUCAGGUAGGGAUAUCCGCUGAACUUAAGCAUAUCAAUAAGCGGAGGA
This 345-nucleotide unclassified non-coding RNA is filed under the name soil metagenome. Its description in RNAcentral is "partial contains 5.8S ribosomal RNA, internal transcribed spacer 2, and large subunit ribosomal RNA". The stretch from base 1 to 120 matches the Rfam family "5.8S ribosomal RNA", at positions 35 to 154 of the family's 154-position model. The record is from RNAcentral.